Molecule: transfer RNA, 68 nt
Filed under: Marmota monax (woodchuck)
Lineage: Eukaryota; Metazoa; Chordata; Mammalia; Rodentia; Sciuridae
Description: tRNA.Ala
Source: RNAcentral
GUUGUGGUUCAGUGGUAGAGUGCUUGUCUAGCACAUGUGAGGCACUGGGUUCAAUCCUCAGCACCACA